GAGGGAUAUUGGUCAAGGGGCGCAAGCCUGAACCAGCGACGCCGCGUGGGUGAAGAAGGUCUUCGGAUCGUAAAGCCCUUUUCCCACUGAAGAGGAAGGACGGUAGGUGGGGAAGAAGUCUCGGCUAACUACGUGCCAGCAGCCACGGUAAAACGUAGGAGACAAGCGUUAUCCGGAGUUACUGGGCGUAAAGGGCGUGCAGGUGGCGUCUUAAGUCUGUUGUGAAAGCGCCUGGCUUAACCGGGCGAGGCCAAUGGAGACUGAGAGGCUGGAGGACGGCGGAGGGGUGUGGAAUUCCGGGUGUAGUGUUGAAAUGCGUAGAGAUCCGGAGGAACACCAGAGGCGAAGGCGGCACUCUAAGCCGUACCUGACACUGAGACGCGACAGCACGGGGAGCAAACG
RNAcentral lists this ribosomal RNA (402 nucleotides) under uncultured bacterium. RNAcentral's name for it is "bacterial SSU rRNA". It matches the Rfam family "Bacterial small subunit ribosomal RNA", at positions 356 to 774 of the family's 1533-position model. The record is from RNAcentral.